AGUUGCGAUCAUACCAGCACUAAUGCACUGGAUCCCAUCAGAACUCCGCAGUUAAGCGUGCUUGGGCGAGAGUAGUACUAGGAUGGGUGACCCCCUGGGAAGUCCUCGUGUUGCAACCC
RNAcentral lists this ribosomal RNA (119 nucleotides) under Helianthus annuus (common sunflower). The record is from RNAcentral. Lineage: Eukaryota; Viridiplantae; Streptophyta; Magnoliopsida; Asterales; Asteraceae.